RNAcentral lists this ribosomal RNA (429 nucleotides) under Gemmatimonadota bacterium. Its description in RNAcentral is "Gemmatimonadetes bacterium partial 16S ribosomal RNA". It matches the Rfam family "Bacterial small subunit ribosomal RNA", at positions 355 to 776 of the family's 1533-position model. The record is from RNAcentral. Lineage: Bacteria; Pseudomonadati; Gemmatimonadota.
UAGGGAAUCUUCGGCAAUGGACGAAAGUCUGACCGAGCAACGCCGCGUGAGUGAAGAAGGUUUUCGGAUCGUAAAACUCUGUUGUUAGAGAAGAACAAGGACGUUAGUAACUGAACGUCCCCUGACGGUAUCUAACCAGAAAGCCACGGCUAACUACGUGCCAGCAGCCGCGGUAAUACGUAGGUGGCAAGCGUUGUCCGGAUUUAUUGGGCGUAAAGCGAGCGCAGGCGGUUUCUUAAGUCUGAUGUGAAAGCCCCCGGCUCAACCGGGGAGGGUCAUUGGAAACUGGGAGACUUGAGUGCAGAAGAGGAGAGUGUAAUUCCAUGUGUAGCGGUGAAAUGCGUAGAUAUAUGGAGGAACACCAGUAGCGAAGGCGGCUCUCUGGUCUGUAACUGACGCUGAGGCUCGAAAGCGUGGGGAGCAAACAGG